CCCCGCUGGAAAAUUAAGCAUAUCAAUAAGCGGAGGAAAAGAAACCAACAGGGAUUGCCUCAGUAACGGCGAGUGAAGCGGCAACAGCUCAAAUUUGAAAUCUGGCGCAAGCCCGAAUUGUAAUUUGUAGAAGAUGCUUCGGGUGCGGUACCGGUCUAAGUUCCUUGGAACAGGACGUCAUAGAGGGUGAGAAUCCCGUACGUGACUGGUUACCUAACCUAUGUGAAGCUCUUUCGACGAGUCGAGUUGUUUGGGAAUGCAGCUCAAAAUGGGUGGUAUAUUUCAUCUAAAGCUAAAUAUUGGCCAGAGACCGAUAGCGCACAAGUAGAGUGAUCGAAAGAUGAAAAGCACUUUGGAAAGAGAGUUAAACAGUACGUGAAAUUGUUGAAAGGGAAGCGCUUGCAACCAGACUUGCGCGUAGUCGAUCAUCCGGUGUUCUCACCGGUGCACUCGACUGCGUUCAGGCCAGCAUCGGUUUGGGUGGUUGGAUAAAGGCUGUGGGAAUGUGGCUCCCCCGGGAGUGUUAUAGCCCACGGUGCAAUGCAGCCUACCUGGACCGAGGACCGCGCUUCGGCUAGGAUGCUGGCGUAAUGGUUGUAAGCGACCCGUCUUGAAACACGGACCAAGGAGUCUAACAUCUAUGCGAGUGUUUGGGUGUCAAACCCAUACGCGUAAUUAACGUGAACGGAGGUGAGAACCCUUAAGGGUGCAUCAUCGACCGAUCCUGAUGUCUUCGGAUGGAUUUGAGUAAGAGCAUAGCUGUUGGGACCCGAAAGAUGGUGAACUAUGCCUGAAUAGGGUGAAGCCAGAGGAAACUCUGGUGGAGGCUCGCAGCGGUUCUGACGUGCAAAUCGAUCGUCAAAUUUGGGCAUAGGGGCGAAAGACUAAUCGAACCAUCUAGUAGCUGGUUCCUGCCGAAGUUU
Molecule: ribosomal RNA, 923 nt
Filed under: Lareunionomyces loeiensis
Lineage: Eukaryota; Fungi; Ascomycota; Leotiomycetes; Helotiales; Neolauriomycetaceae
Description: partial large subunit ribosomal RNA
Rfam family: Eukaryotic large subunit ribosomal RNA
Source: RNAcentral